AAGUAUGGCAGCGUGGAAGUUGUUCUUGCUUUGCUUUGCUUAUCGAGAUGUGGCUAGUCCUCGCCUUGCACACGCAGGGAUCCCAUACGGGCGCUGAUUUGUAUCUCAGCUGUUCCACUUGCCUUCCAGCUCCCUGCUAAUGGCAAGAAGCCUUGGGACUCUGCAGGCACAUGGGAGACCCAGAAGAAGCUCCUGGCUUCAGGCACAGUCGGAUUGUUUCCAGUCCAGAUUGCUCUGAAUAUUUGCAUGGGAGUCUCUAGAGUAAACACCCAGAAAAGGAACUGCUAGACUGUACGGUGAAUGUUUGUAGAACCUUCAAAGAUAUCACUGUUUUCCCAAGUAGUUAGAAUUGUAUCUUAACAAUAGGGAAUCUUCACAACCCAUGAAUGUGGUAUUUUUCUCUAUUCAGUUACUUAAACCUCCAUUUCAUUUCUCUUAGCAGUGUUUUUCAGCUUCUGAAGUGUAGGACUUGUAAACAUUUUGGUCAAUUAUCCCUAAGUAUUCCAAUUUUUACUACUAUUGAAAAUGC
Long non-coding RNA from Ochotona princeps (American pika), 529 nucleotides. RefSeq lists it as uncharacterized. The transcript has 3 exons. NCBI's taxonomy places the organism in Eukaryota, Metazoa, Chordata, Mammalia, Lagomorpha, Ochotonidae. The record is from RefSeq and is a predicted model, not a curated record.